UGCAGUCGAACGAUGAAGCCCUUCGGGGUGGAUUAGUGGCGAACGGGUGAGUAACACGUGGGCAAUCUGCCCUUCACUCUGGGACAAGCCCUGGAAACGGGGUCUAAUACCGGAUAACACUCUGUCCCGCAUGGGACGGGGUUAAAAGCUCCGGCGGUGAAGGAUGAGCCCGCGGCCUAUCAGCUUGUUGGUGGGGUAAUGGCCUACCAAGGCGACGACGGGUAGCCGGCCUGAGAGGGCGACCGGCCACACUGGGACUGAGACACGGCCCAGACUCCUACGGGAGGCAGCAGUGGGGAAUAUUGCACAAUGGGCGAAAGCCUGAUGCAGCGACGCCGCGUGAGGGAUGACGGCCUUCGGGUUGUAAACCUCUUUCAGCAGGGAAGAAGCGAAAGUGACGGUACCUGCAGAAGAAGCGCCGGCUAACUACGUGCCAGCAGCCGCGGUAAUACGUAGGGCGCAAGCGUUGUCCGGAAUUAUUGGGCGUAAAGAGCUCGUAGGCGGCUUGUCACGUCGGAUGUGAAAGCCCGGGGCUUAACCCCGGGUCUGCAUUCGAUACGGGCUAGCUAGAGUGUGGUAGGGGAGAUCGGAAUUCCUGGUGUAGCGGUGAAAUGCGCAGAUAUCAGGAGGAACACCGGUGGCGAAGGCGGAUCUCUGGGCCAUUACUGACGCUGAGGAGCGAAAGCGUGGGGAGCGAACAGGAUUAGAUACCCUGGUAGUCCACGCCGUAAACGUUGGGAACUAGGUGUUGGCGACAUUCCACGUCGUCGGUGCCGCAGCUAACGCAUUAAGUUCCCCGCCUGGGGAGUACGGCCGCAAGGCUAAAACUCAAAGGGAAUUGACGGGGGCCCGCACAAGCAGCGGAGCAUGUGGCUUAAUUCGACGCAACGCGAAGAACCUUACCAAGGCUUGACAUAUACCGGAAAGCAUCAGAGAUGGUG
RNAcentral lists this ribosomal RNA (941 nucleotides) under Peterkaempfera griseoplana. RNAcentral describes it as "bacterial SSU rRNA". It matches the Rfam family "Bacterial small subunit ribosomal RNA", at positions 56 to 1011 of the family's 1533-position model. Lineage: Bacteria; Bacillati; Actinomycetota; Actinomycetes; Kitasatosporales; Streptomycetaceae. The record is from RNAcentral.